UAUUGGUCAAUGGGCGCAGGCCUGAACCAGCCAAGUAGCGUGAAGGAUGACUGCCCUAUGGGNUGUAAACUUCUUUUAUAUGGGANNCCNNNUNUCCACGUGUGGAAUUUUGUAUGUACCAUAGGAAUAANNNUNGNCUAACCCCGCUCCAGCCGCCGCGGUAAUACGGAGGAUCCGAGCGUUAUCCGGAUUUAUUGGGUUUAAAGGGAGCGUAGGUGGACAGUUAAGUCAGUUGUGAAAGUUUGCGGCUCAACCGUAAAAUUGCAGUUGAUACUGGCUGUCUUGAGUACAGUAGGGGUGGGCGGAAUUCGUGGUGUAGCGGUGAAAUGCUUAGAUAUCGCGAAGAACUCCGAUUGCGAAGGCAGCUCACUGGACUGCAACUGACACUGAUGCUCGAAAGUGUGGGUAUCAAACAG
Molecule: ribosomal RNA, 416 nt
Filed under: uncultured bacterium
Lineage: Bacteria
Description: partial 16S ribosomal RNA
Rfam family: Bacterial small subunit ribosomal RNA
Source: RNAcentral